This is a non-coding RNA of Phthorimaea operculella (potato tuberworm), 76 nucleotides long. Lineage: Eukaryota; Metazoa; Arthropoda; Insecta; Lepidoptera; Gelechiidae. The record is from the annotation of a GenBank genome assembly.
GUCGCUGUAGCCUAGUUGGUAAAGGCGUCGCGAGUACAGAUGGCCAAGGUCGCUGGUUCAAAUCCAGCCUGCGGUA